This 305-nucleotide ribosomal RNA is filed under the name uncultured bacterium. Its description in RNAcentral is "bacterial SSU rRNA". It matches the Rfam family "Bacterial small subunit ribosomal RNA", at positions 333 to 654 of the family's 1533-position model. The record is from RNAcentral.
CAGGGCCUACGGGACGCAGCAGUGGGGGAUAUUGCACAAUGGGGGGAACCCUGAUGCAGCGACGCCGCGUGGGUGAAGGAGCGUUUCGGCGCGUAAAGCCCUAUCGGCAGGGAAGAAGGAGGACGGUACCUGACUAAGAAGCCCCGGCUAACUACGUGCCAGCAGCCGCGGUAAUACGUAGGGGGCAAGCGUUAUCCGGAUUUACUGGGUGUAAAGGGGGCGCAGACGGCAGCGCAAGCCAGGAGUGAAAGCCCGUGGCCCAACCCCGGGACUGCUCUUGGAACUGGGCGGCUGGAGUGCCGGGG